CUCGUGGAGGACCGAACCCACUUCAGUUGAAAAUGGAGGGGAUGAGUUGUGGAUAGGGGUGAAAGGCCAAUCAAACACCGUGAUAGCUGGUUCUCCCCGAAAUGCAUUUAGGUGCAGCGUUGCGUGGUUCUUGUUGGAGGUAGAGCACUGGAUGGUCUAGGGGGCUUAUCGGCUUACCGAAAUCAGCCAAACUCCGAAUGCUGGCAAGUGUAGCGUGGCAGUGAGACGGCGG
This 232-nucleotide ribosomal RNA is filed under the name Chaetoceros affinis. RNAcentral describes it as "partial Bacterial large subunit ribosomal RNA". It matches the Rfam family "Bacterial large subunit ribosomal RNA", at positions 763 to 994 of the family's 2925-position model. The record is from RNAcentral. Lineage: Eukaryota; Bacillariophyta; Thalassiosirophyceae; Chaetocerotales; Chaetocerotaceae.